AAACUUGGUGAUCACAUCUGUUCCAUGUGGACGGUCUAGGUACUAGGGAUACAGUGGUGUGAAAAAUCACCCUACGCAGAUCGUUCCUGCCUACAGGGAAUGAGGUAGGGGGAUGAAGACAGAGAGGUGAGAGGAUAAGGGGGUGGAGUUUAUGGGUAUGUUGAUAACAAGCAAAAAUAUGAACUCUACAAUGUUAGAGGGAGCAAACGCAAUGAAGAGCAAUGAGCAAGGGAAGGAGCUAGAGAGUGGUCAGGGAAAGCCUGUCUGGCCAUCAGUGCUUCCCAACUGAUUGGCUAUUUUUUUAGAAAGACAUUAAUAAAGGAUGUGCCAUAGAGCGGGUGGAGGACUCAGUGGGCAGAAGAGCCACUGAAGAAUCUACUAGAUACAGAAAAUGAUGGUCAUAGGUAAUGGUGGUCGUUCAUUAUUUUUGCAUACCGAUAUCCAAUUGUUCAAGUGUCACUUGUUGAAAAGACUACCAUUUUCCUACGGAGGAAAUAAUCCAAGUUUUAAAAAGUUCCACUUAGUGGUCAUUUCUAUGAACAAAAUGAAUAGUGCUGGAUAACAGAUGAGACUUACAUGAUUCAAAGGCAGUUACGUGAAGCCCUGGGGAAGAGCUUUCCAGGAGAGGCAACGGCAGGUGCACAAGCCCCGAGGUAAGAAAGGGAAAUGUCAAGACCAGAAGGCAGGCUGAUACGGAGGAAUCUUCCAGAAGAAGUCCAAAGGAUGAACUGAGACUGGACUUGAGGCAGGACCUUGUGAGCCCAGAUGGAGGUGGCAAUUGCCAAGUGGAGAAUAAGAAGAAGUGGAAAAAAAUGAAAAUAAGAAAGAUAAUAGGUGGAAGAGAGUCAGGCAGAGUGAAGGAAUCAAAGAGCGGCACAGGACCCUGAGAUCCGCCUAGCAUCCAUUAACAAGUAUUCACGGAGCACCGAUGUGUCAGGAACUGUCCUCCGCCCUGGGACCAUGCUGGGACAUGGACCGAGAAUAGUCACAUGUCUGUGGAGCUAGUGAGGGAGAGAGAUGCCAAAUAAUUAUGGAAAAGGUAUAUCUGCCAAGUAGAGCCACCACCAUUUUGUUGCCUGGCAGAGGUGUGAGAUGCAAGGCUGUUUACAAAGCCCCCAGCAAGAGCAAUCCCAUCAUCAGGAGGUUUGCUUCCCCCCCGGGCCAGCCCUCUCGCUCUCCAUGCCCGUCUUGGCUGCAUGCGUUGUACCUAACACAUUUAACCCGCGUUUCUUAAGAGUUCUGCAAAAUGGUGUCUGCUGGUGUUUGCAAGGGAAGCUCCCGCUGGGCGUCCCGAGCUGGGUGGGAGCUGAGUGUGCGGUUCCCUAACGAGCUGGCGGCCGGCCUGAGCGGCUCUGAUCUCCAAUUCUGACGGCUUGUCCUUCAGGUGACCUAUAUUAUCUGGCACCUCAGUUGCUGCUCACAAAGAAAAAGUAUCACUGGAAGAAAGAAAAAAAAAAUCCCAAGUGAUUGUGUACAUGCUCUUUAUUGAGAAUAU
This 1495-nucleotide long non-coding RNA is filed under the name Homo sapiens (human). RNAcentral describes it as "HSALNT0269117". Lineage: Eukaryota; Metazoa; Chordata; Mammalia; Primates; Hominidae. The record is from RNAcentral.